Molecule: ribosomal RNA, 450 nt
Filed under: uncultured bacterium
Lineage: Bacteria
Description: bacterial SSU rRNA
Rfam family: Bacterial small subunit ribosomal RNA
Source: RNAcentral
AACGAACGCUGGCGGCAGGCUUAACACAUGCAAGUCGAGCGCCCUCUUCGGAGGGAGCGGCGGACGGGUUAGUAACGCGUGGGAACGUGCCUUUCGCUACGGAAUAGCCCAGGGAAACUUGGAUUAAUACCGUAUACGCCCUUUUGGGGAAAGAUUUAUCGGCGAGAGAUCGGCCCGCGUUGGAUUAGGUAGUUGGUGGGGUAAUGGCCUACCAAGCCGACGAUCCAUAGCUGGUUUGAGAGGAUGAUCAGCAACACUGGGACUGAGACACGGCCCAGACUCCUACGGGAGGCAGCAGUGGGGAAUCUUGGACAAUGGGGGCAACCCUGAUCCAGCCAUGCCGCGUGGACGAUGAAGGCCUUAGGGUUGUAAAGUCCUUUCGCUAGGGAAGAUAAUGACGGUACCUAGUAAAGAAGUCCCGGCUAACUCCGUGCCAGCAGCCGCGGUAAU